GUCCGAGUGGUGAAAUAGGUAGACACGAGGGACUUAAAAUCCCUUCUUCAGCAAUGGAGGUGCGGGUUCGAUUCCCGCCUCGGGCA
This 86-nucleotide transfer RNA is filed under the name Cryomorphaceae bacterium. Its description in RNAcentral is "tRNA-Leu". It matches the Rfam family "tRNA". From Rfam's summary of the family: Transfer RNA (tRNA) molecules are approximately 80 nucleotides in length. Their secondary structure includes four short double-helical elements and three loops (D, anti-codon, and T loops). Lineage: Bacteria; Pseudomonadati; Bacteroidota; Flavobacteriia; Flavobacteriales; Cryomorphaceae. RNAcentral also lists the same sequence under 2 other names. The record is from RNAcentral.